AAGCCCAGCUUGCUGGGUGGAUUAGUGGCGAACGGGUGAGUAACACGUGAGUAACCUGCCCUUAACUCUGGGAUAAGCCUGGGAAACUGGGUCUAAUACCGGAUAGGAGCGUCCACCGCAUGGUGGGUGUUGGAAAGAUUUAUCGGUUUUGGAUGGACUCGCGGCCUAUCAGCUUGUUGGUGAGGUAAUGGCUCACCAAGGCGACGACGGGUAGCCGGCCUGAGAGGGUGACCGGCCACACUGGGACUGAGACACGGCCCAGACUCCUACGGGAGGCAGCAGUGGGGAAUAUUGCACAAUGGGCGCAAGCCUGAUGCAGCGACGCCGCGUGAGGGAUGACGGCCUUCGGGUUGUAAACCUCUUUCAGUAGGGAAGAAGCGAAAGUGACGGUACCUGCAGAAGAAGCACCGGCUAACUACGUGCCAGCAGCCGCGGUAAUACGUAGGGUGCGAGCGUUAUCCGGAAUUAUUGGGCGUAAAGAGCUCGUAGGCGGUUUGUCGCGUCUGUCGUGAAAGUCCGGGGCUUAACCCCGGAUCUGCGGUGGGUACGGGCAGACUAGAGUGCAGUAGGGGAGACUGGAAUUCCUGGUGUAGCGGUGGAAUGCGCAGAUAUCAGGAGGAACACCGAUGGCGAAGGCAGGUCUCUGGGCUGUAACUGACGCUGAGGAGCGAAAGCAUGGGGAGCGAACAGGAUUAGAUACCCUGGUAGUCCAUGCCGUAAACGUUGGGCACUAGGUGUGGGGACCAUUCCACGGUUUCCGCGCCGCAGCUAACGCAUUAAAUGCCCCGCCUGGGGAGUACAGCCGCAAGGCUAGAACUCAAAGGAAUUGACGGGGGCCCGCACAAUCGGCGGAGCAUGCGGAUUAAUUCUAUGCAACGCGAAAAACCUUACCAAAGCUUGACAUGUUCUCGAUCGCCGUAGAGAUACAGUUUCGCCUUU
Molecule: ribosomal RNA, 939 nt
Filed under: Micrococcus sp.
Lineage: Bacteria; Bacillati; Actinomycetota; Actinomycetes; Micrococcales; Micrococcaceae
Description: bacterial SSU rRNA
Rfam family: Bacterial small subunit ribosomal RNA
Source: RNAcentral